AAAAUAGAUAACUAAAUAAAAGUAUGUUAAUUACACUAACAGAAUGAUUGAAAAAUCUUUAUUUU
RNAcentral lists this transfer RNA (65 nucleotides) under Bemisia sp. PB-2004. Its description in RNAcentral is "tRNA-Val". The record is from RNAcentral. Lineage: Eukaryota; Metazoa; Arthropoda; Insecta; Hemiptera; Aleyrodidae.